Molecule: small nuclear RNA, 144 nt
Gene: U2
Rfam family: U2 spliceosomal RNA
About the family: U2 is a small nuclear RNA (snRNA) component of the spliceosome (involved in pre-mRNA splicing). Complementary binding between U2 snRNA (in an area lying towards the 5' end but 3' to hairpin I) and the branchpoint sequence (BPS) of the intron results the bulging out of an unpaired adenosine, on the BPS, which initiates a nucleophilic attack at the intronic 5' splice site, thus starting the first of two transesterification reactions that mediate splicing.
Source: Ensembl
AUCGCUUCUCGGCCUUUUGGCUAAGAUCAAGUGUAAUACCAAUAUAGAAUGAAUUUUUUGUAUCUUUCUUCCCUAAUAGCCUGUUAUAUAAACUUUGAGGAGCAAGUAAUUUUUCAUAAUGAUAGAAAUUGUAGUUGAAUUUAA